UACGUAGGGCGCAAGCGUUGUCCGGAAUUAUUGGGCGUAAAGAGCUCGUAGGCGGCUUGUCACGUCGGGUGUGAAAGCCCGGGGCUUAACCCCGGGUCUGCAUUCGAUACGGGCUAGCUAGAGUGUGGUAGGGGAGAUCGGAAUUCCUGGUGUAGCGGUGAAAUGCGCAGAUAUCAGGAGGAACACCGGUGGCGAAGGCGGUUCUCUGGGCAUGUCCUGACGCUGAGGAGCGAAAGUGUGGGGAGCGAACAGG
Molecule: ribosomal RNA, 253 nt
Filed under: uncultured bacterium
Lineage: Bacteria
Description: partial 16S ribosomal RNA
Rfam family: Bacterial small subunit ribosomal RNA
Source: RNAcentral